This 69-nucleotide transfer RNA is filed under the name Zu cristatus (scalloped ribbonfish). Its description in RNAcentral is "tRNA-Gly". Lineage: Eukaryota; Metazoa; Chordata; Actinopteri; Lampriformes; Trachipteridae. The record is from RNAcentral.
AUCUUUCUAGUACAAAUAGUAUGAGUGACUUCCAAUUACACGAUCCUAGUUAAACUCUAGGGGAAGAUA